GCAUUAUAGCCAAGUGGUUAUGGUGACAGAUUUGGAUCUAAGCUACUAUGUCCGAUUAUUAUUAUUCAUCUGUUUGUCUUUGAGGGUGAUGGUUCAAAUCCUGCUGGCA
Crucibulum laeve is the source of this 109-nucleotide non-coding RNA. Lineage: Eukaryota; Fungi; Basidiomycota; Agaricomycetes; Agaricales; Nidulariaceae. The record is from the annotation of a GenBank genome assembly.